Molecule: long non-coding RNA, 949 nt
Organism: Harpia harpyja (harpy eagle)
Lineage: Eukaryota; Metazoa; Chordata; Aves; Accipitriformes; Accipitridae
Exons: 3
Source: RefSeq, a predicted model, not a curated record
CCCUCCCCUGGCAGCUCCGGCCCCAGGAGGCGCCGGGGAGGCCCGGCAGCUCCGCGGCGCGGCAGGUCUGUGCCUGCGGCCCGAGCGGGAGAGGCCGGGGCGCCCGAGGACUCCGCUGCCCGGGCCUGAGCGACCGGUCUCCGGCUGCGAGCCCGAAGCUAGCGGUUUCGCCUAAUGCGAGUCACACAGCUGGAAUUCUUCAGGAAGCGAGAUAGCUCCUCUUCGGAAGUGGAUAUUGCCAUCCCAUUAUUUCUGAGUAUUUCUGUUAACAUGCUGUUCCUGUACUUCACCAGUGGCCUUAUCGGAACAUCUCCAGCGUGCUUUUGAAACAUCGCUAUCAUCUGGUCCGUAAGUCCUGAAAUGUCGCUACGUCCUUAAAAUGUAUCCUCAGUGAAGGUUUUAAUGCUUUUUUAAAAGCUUUCAUCUCGGAAGUACUUUUAUUAAGUCAACGAGAAUGCUGCUGUGUUUAAAUAUCUCUUGAAAUCGCAGCCAGGGCACCCAUCCUGCUUUCUUUUUAAUACUUCUGAUCUGCACAUUUACAUGCAACCCUCCGGGCGUCUUCACUGACUGUGUGUAAAGGGAGCGAUGCUGCAGUGGGUGAUCAUCCUGACCACCUGCAACACCCUGAGGCCCCGUGCCACCAAUGUGGAUGCUCAGGGACAAAAGCAGAGUCUUGCAGACCUUGUAGCACCUGGAGAUUCCAGGGAUUUGGGAGCAGACAUCAUAACGAUAGCAGUGUACUGCUAACUCUUCCAUGACUGCGUGCUGCUAAGUGUGUUGUAGUUAUCCACUGCCAUCAUCAUAGUUUUCUCAGAGUUAUCUUACAGUUGAAUACUGCUAAACCAUAACUGUUACCACUAUUGUCAUGCUUGCAUUAUUGUAUUUAUAUAUUACAGUUGUAUAAACUAUCACACUGCACAUGCUAUUAAACAUCAUUAUAUAGACCUGA